RNAcentral lists this ribosomal RNA (254 nucleotides) under uncultured bacterium. RNAcentral's name for it is "partial 16S ribosomal RNA". It matches the Rfam family "Bacterial small subunit ribosomal RNA", at positions 524 to 776 of the family's 1533-position model. The record is from RNAcentral.
UACGUAGGGUCCGAGCGUUGUCCGGAUUUAUUGGGCGUAAAGAGCUCGUAGGCGGCUCAGUAAGUCAGAUGUGAAAACUCAGGGCUCAACCCGGAGACGCCAUCUGAUACUGCUGUGGCUUGAGUCUGGUAGGGGAUCACGGAAUUCCUGGUGCAGCGGUGAAAUGCGCAGAUAUCAGGAGGAACACCGAUGGCGAAGGCAGUGAUCUGGGCCAGUACUGACGCUGAGGAGCGAAAGCGUGGGUAGCAAACAGG